RNAcentral lists this ribosomal RNA (3363 nucleotides) under Triticum aestivum (bread wheat). Its description in RNAcentral is "partial small subunit ribosomal RNA". The record is from RNAcentral. Lineage: Eukaryota; Viridiplantae; Streptophyta; Magnoliopsida; Poales; Poaceae.
AUGCUGUUUUUUAGGGGUAUUGAUGUUAAUGCUCGGCCCCGCCAUGACGCCGCGCCCGUCGCCAACCGCCUCAACAAGUUCCCCCUCGUCGCCGCCUCCCUCGAGACAAGAGGCCUCGUGAAGGAGCAAAUUCGUUCCUUCAACUAUUUCGUCACCAAAAAAAUGCAGAAGAUUGUGAUGGCAAAUAACCGCAUCGUAGCACCCCAAGACCCGUCCAUCUAUCUUAGCACUGAUAUUUUGACACCGCAAUUCUGCCGUCUUAAUGCUCGCACUUAUGCUGCCCCCAUAAGGGUUGAUGUUGAAUACACUGCCUAUUUACGGGAUAAAACGCUGACGCUACGGGAGGAAAGUGCCACCAUUGGGUACAUGCCUAUUAUGCUCAGAAGCUGUUCUUGUGUUCUGAAUGGGAAGGAUGAAGAUGAACUAGCAAGAUAUGGCGAGUGCCCUCUUGAUCCUGGCGGCUACUUCAUUGUGAAAGGAAAUGAGAAGGUCAUUCUUAUACAAGAAGAAUUACCAAAGAAUCAUAUUAUUAUUAUGACCGAUCGUAAAGGAAGGGUGACUGCGUCGGUUAUGAGCAGUGCAGAUGGAAUAAAAAGCAAGACUCUAGUUGUCAUGGACAACAAAAAGAUCUAUCUAGAUUCGAAUCAAUUCACUAAGCUGAUUCCUAUAAUUGUUGUUUUGAAAGCAAUGGGAAUGGAAAGUGACCAAGAGGUUGUACAAAUGCUUGGACGAGAUCCAAGAUAUGGGGACUUACUAUUUUUAUCUAUUCAGGAAUGUGCCUCUGAGGGAAUAUAUACACAACAACAAGCUCUUCAGUACAUGGAUGGCAAGGUCCUACAUAAUCAUUUCCUGGCGCAUGUGCCGGUCAAGAAUGGGAACUUGCGAGCAAAGAGCAUAUACACUGGUGUAAUAUUAAGGCGCAUGAUGGACGCAGUCUUGAAUGCUGACACUUUUGAUGACAAGGAUUAUUUAGGAAAUAAGAGGCUGCAACUGUCUGGUGAACUAGUAUCCCUGCUCUUCGAGGAUCUGUUCAAAAGAAUGAAUUUGUUGGCUAUGGAUAUUAUGGGCAAAACUAUGAGCAACAAUACAAGUGAAGAUCGUGACGGAGUCCUGAAUUUUAAGCAGAUAAUAGAGAGGGCUUCUAACAUAACCUCUGGUAUGGAGUUGGCCAUUAACACAGGAAAUUGGAACACAGGACAAUUUGGUAUGAGUAGAAAAGGUGUAUCACAGACGCUUUCUAGGCUAUCCUAUAUGGCAUCUUUAGGCUACAUGACACGCAUAUCACAAGAAUUAGAGAAGACCCGGAAAACAAAUGGGCCCCGUGCAUUGCACCCUAGUCAGUGGGGUAUGCUUUGCCCAUGCGAUACUCCCGAAGGAGAACUUUGUGGAUUGACAAAAAAUUUAGCUUUGUUAACUCACAUUACAACAGAUCAAGAGGAUGAUGGCCCACUGAUGAAGCUGUGUUAUACUUUAGGUGUGGAAGAUUUAUCAAUUUUAUCUGCAGAAGAAGUUCAUGCAUCAGACUCAUUUCUGAUCAUGUUCAAUGGAUCAAUACUGGGGAAACAUAGGCAACCUCAGAGAUUUGCUGAUAAUAUGAGAAAACUGCGUCGGUUAAGCUCAUCUUGGGACUUUGUAAGCAUUUUUGUUAAUCAGAAGCAGCGUUGCAUUCACAUUGCCUCUGAUGGCGGUCGCGUUUGUCGUCCACUUUUAAUCGCUGAUUUGGGAAUAUCAAGGGUCCAAGACCAUCAUAUGCAGGAACUGAGGGCUGGUCAACUCUCAUUUGACGAUUUUCUGCGUUUUGGGUUGAUUGAAUAUCUUGAUGUCAAUGAAGAGAACAAUGCAUUGAUUGCAUUGUAUGAGCAUGAGGAUCAAGAUGAUGUUCAGAGAAGCAGAAUCACACACAUUGAAAUAGAGCCCUUGACUAUAUUAGGGGUUGUGGCUGGGCUUAUUCCUUAUCCACACCAUAACCAAUCUACACGUAACACUUACCAGUGUGCAAUGGGUAAGCAAGCAAUGGGAAAUAUUGCGUAUAAUCAGUUGUCCCGGGCAGAUUCUCUACAAUAUUUAUUAGUGUACGCGCAAUGUCCCCUGGUUACAACAAAAACAAUCGAGUUGGUGGGAUAUGAUAAGCUUGGGGCUGGGCAGAAUGCAACUGUUGCUGUCAUGAGUGAUAGUGGAUAUGAUAUUAAAGAUGCAAUUGUAUUCAAUAAAUCAUCCCUUGAUCGAGGUUUUGGUCGUUGCAUAAGAAUGAAAAGGUACACGGUGGCAAUGCAGAAGUAUGGGAAUAAUAGGUCAGAAAAGAAUGUUAAACCAGAGAGAGAUAAAGAUGAUAUUUUGAAGAAGCAGAAUAUGCAGGUUUUGGAUAAAGAUGGAUACGCCAAGCCAGGUCUAAUAAUCCGCGAUGGUGAUAUCUAUGUGAACAAGAAAACUCCCAAGAAUACUGCAAAAAGUCCUGGUGUUACAUCAACCGACAGGGACUAUGAAGACUACCCAGCUAUUUACAAAGGUGAUGAUGAUGAGACAACUGUAGUUGAUCGUGUAAUACUUUCCUCAGAUAGUAAUGACAACUUGACCAUCAAGUGUAUUAUCCGUCACACUAGGAGGCCAGAGGUCGGUGACAAAUUUAGUAGCAGACAUGGACAGAAAGGUGUUUGUGGUACCAUUCUUCAGCAGGAAGACUUCUCCUUCUCUGAGAGAGGAAUAUGCCCUGAUUUAGUUAUGAAUCCCCAUGGAUUUCCAAGUGGUAUGACGGUAGGACAAAUGCUUGAACUUCUUGGCGGAAAGGCUGGUGCAUCAUGUGAGCAAUUUUAUUAUGGCAGUGCAUUUGGUGAACCAAGUGGUAAUGCUAAUAAAGUUGAAGACAUGAGCUAUACUCUUGUCAAGCACGGCUUCAACUAUCAUGGAAAAGAUUUAUUGUACUCAGGCACUUUAGGCCACCCUCUUCAGGCAUAUAUCUUCAUGGGGCCAAUCUACUACCAGAAAUUGAAGCACAUGGUUCUUGAUAAGAUGCAUGCUCGAGCUUCUGGACCACGAGUUGCAUUGACCAGGCAACCUACUGGAGGGCCAAACAGCAAUGGAGGCCUGCGUCUUGGUGAGAUGGAGCGUGAUUGUUUAAUUGCGCAUGGUGCUAGUAUGGUGAUAUUUGAACGUCUAUUACUGUCGAGUGACCCAUAUCAAGUGCAGGUUUGCAGAAAAUGUGGUUUGUUAGGCUACUACAACCACAGACUCAAAACCUCCUUCUGUUCAUUUUGCAAAAGUGGAGAAAAUAUGCAGCAACUGAUGAUGCCCUAUGCCUGCAAGCUAUUGUUUCAGGAACUGACAGCGAUGAACAUCGUUCCAAGGUUAAAGCUAACCGAAGGAUAA